This is an RNA transcript of Hevea brasiliensis (rubber tree), 3039 nucleotides long. It is a transcript of the gene named exosome complex component RRP45A, with no coding region annotated. The transcript has 10 exons. The record is from RefSeq and is a predicted model, not a curated record. NCBI's taxonomy places the organism in Eukaryota, Viridiplantae, Streptophyta, Magnoliopsida, Malpighiales, Euphorbiaceae.
GCUAUUUGUUUGGUCGCGUAAUAUCAAGCGGAGGCGCUAAAAGCGGUGGCAUCAAGCUUUGAAUAAAACCCUAGGGUUUUAAAAGUUGGUAAUUGCCCAGCCAAGUCGUGAAAUCUCACUGUCAGAUUCACUAGUGACAAACGGAGUGGAUUUUGUCACUACCCAUUUUGGUUUUCAGCCCUUUCCGGUUUCUUUCUUGCCGCCUUCCCUCCUUCGCCGUCCACCAUUCGCUUCUUUCCAUCUGCUACAUAUUUUGAAGUGAAAUUUGAGAAACUGUACCGUCAAAAAUGGAUGCCAGAUUGACGAAUGCAUGGCGAAUGACAGUGAAUGAGAAGAAAUUCAUUGAGACUGCUUUGGCUUCGGACCUCAGAAUCGACGGUCGUAAUCCCCUUGAGUAUCGUAAAAUAACAAUCAAGUUUGGCAGAGAAGAUGGGUCAUCAGAGGUGCAGCUAGGCCAGACUCAUGUAAUGGGUUUUGUGACAAGUCAACUAGUUCAACCUUAUCGAGACCGACCAAAUGAAGGGUCACUUUCAAUUUUUACAGAGUUUUCGCCAAUGGCCGAUCCUUCAUUUGAGCCAGGUCGUCCAGGAGAAUCUGCUGUGGAGUUGGGCAGAAUAAUUGAUCGUGGUCUAAGGGAAAGCAGGGCAGUGGAUACAGAAUCACUCUGCGUUCUUGCUGGGAAGUUAGUAUGGGCCAUUAGAAUUGACCUUCACAUCUUAGAUAAUGGGGGGAAUCUUGUUGAUGCUGCCAAUAUUGCUGCUUUAGUUGCUCUCUUGACAUUUCGGAGGCCCGAAUGCACAUUAGGAGGAGAAGAUGGUCAACAAGUGAUGGUACAUCCUCCUGAGGUGAAAGAACCACUUCCUUUGAUAGUGCAUCAUCUUCCUAUAGCAGUAACUUUUGCAUUUUUCAACAGUGAGCACACCAUGGUGGUUGACCCGACCCAUAAUGAGGAGGCUGUUAUGGGGGGAAGAAUGACAGUUACAGCGAACACUAAUGGUGAUAUUUGUGCUAUUCAGAAAGCUGGAGGAGAGGGUGUGACACAGAGUGAUAUAAUGCGUUGUUUGCGACUUGCAUCUAGGAAUGCUGAGUCUAUAACAAAGAAGAUAAAUGAUGCAGUUGAGACAUACAACACAGAGAGAGCAUUACGGAAGAUCAAGCGCCACUCUGCUUCUGUUGCUGUUGACGUUAGCAUAUCUGGUGGUGAUGUCAGAGAGCCUGAAAACAAAUUUUUCGUGCACAAGGGCAUUAGUGAGUUGUCAAGGGACCAGAUGGAGAGAUUGAAUCUAGUAUCUGAGGAAAAAUGCACCAGUCAAAGUAGUGACAUUAAUGGUGGUCUUAGUUCAUCUGAACAAGGCAGAACUAGUUGUCAAGAGGGCAAUGCUACAAAUUUCCUUGGGGGCCCCUCAAGCUGGGAUCCUUAUUCGAAGGGUGUUGAUUCAGAUUCCCUGAAAGUUUCUCUAGCUUCACUUGAUUGAAGUGGAAUCAAGAGGGAGUGGAACCAUGGGGAGCAGGUCCCCUUGGUCUGGUUCAGGUGAUCAUGUCCCUACCAGAUCACAGGCACUACUUCUGACUUGGAACCGUCCUGUGGCAACCCCUACUUAGAGAGCCAAUGGGAUUGCCACAUGGUGUUGUAUAUUUAAGGGGGACAGGAAGGCCUCAUUUUACUUUAUUUUGAUGCUUCAGAUGAUGCCUGGUUCUAUCUUAAGAGCUUUGAGCUUUCAAUUUUCCAUCUAAACCAAGUGUUCUUGGGGUCGUUCAAUGUGUGGUUCCUGGUUGAGCAUCACACUUCUUUUCCGUUUUUGGGUUUUUUUAUGACUUUGUAUCUCGGGCCUGGUUUUACAUUUUUUCAGCAGCUAAAGACUUAAAUAAUUUGAAAAUCUAGAAUCUACUUUAUAAGAUCUUCUGUAGACCUUGUGUUCUAUAAGAGUUUCUGAUGAAUGGUCGUUUUCCCCUUUUCGCAAGUUCAUGUGUGUGUUUUUUCACAUCAAUUUGACAAUUUUGUUUUACAAAAGGAUUAUGUCUGUCUAACGUGACUUGGGUUGCAUCCCUGCACUCUGUAGAAUCAUGAAACAGAAAAAUUAAUCUUGCCUCCCCACACCCACCCUACCCACCACCCCCCUCUGUUUGCUGACAACAUAUCUUAUUGGUGGUUGGAAAGUAUGUGUACUGUAAUCAAUAAUCAUACCUAGCAUUGGAAUAUAUUGAAAAGUGCACACCCCAAUACUUUUGUGAAUUCAGCAUACAUAAUGCACUUGGGUGAUACUGUCUAUGUCAGAUAACAAAGAGAGAGAGCUGAUACAAAUUGACUUGUACUAGGUGUGAAACAUGCAGGAAUAUCAGCACCUGAUAAACAUAAAAGAGGUGAGCAAAAGAGCACUCAAGCUAUGGAAGAUAAAGUACCUGAAGAUGCUAAACCAGCUACUUCAGCCACUGAUACAUCUAGAACUGGGCCUCAAAUGAGUGGAGAGAAGACUUUGAAAGAUGCUGUAAAGCCCAAGGACAAGAGAAGAAAAAGGGCAUCCUCUAGCAUGAAUGCAAGUUAGAUGAACUUCUGACCCGAGAAAUUUCAUCAUUUCAUAUUCUGGACUUACGGUUCCUUAAACUUCCAAUUGUUAAGUUGGAGGGUAGAUGGUGUUGAAAAAUUUACUCUACUCUCAAUGGUGAAUGACAUGGAGGGAUCAAUAGCAGCCAGUGUGCUUAAAUGACAACCAGAAAGAGAGUUGACCCCUCACACACAAGUCAAGGCUUUUGUGCCUGCUAAGGAGUCAGGUAUGGCAUUUUGGUCAAGUGGAUAUCAUUACAUUGCUCAAGUUGCAUCUCCUUGGAUCGUUUUUCAUGUAAAAUUUUAGAUUGAUUAAUGUAUUAUAUAUGUCCUAUUUUUCUGUCUCUAUUCCUUAAGGGGGUGGGGCAUGCCCCACCACCACUGUUCUUUUCUGAAUAGGAGUUGUUCCUGGUUUUGUUUGCCAGUUCAAUAUAAAGGUGUUCUGACAAAUUUGUUAUUUCAGAAAGAGAAGAAAAUAGAAAAAAUUGUUAUGCAAA